UUUCCGUAGGUGAACCUGCGGAAGGAUCAUUCAUAAUAAGUGUUUUAUGGCACUUUUUUAAAUCCAUAUCCACUUUGUGUGCAAUUUCAGGGUUGAUUUUUCUCUCGAGAGGCUCAGCCCCAAACAUUAACUAUAACUCAAUCCUUUGUCUGAAAAAUAUUAUGAAUAAAACAAUUCAACAUACAACUUUCAACAACCUAUCUGUUGGCUCUCCCAUCAAUGAAGAACCAAGCAGAAAGGAAACACAUCCGUACUCACGCCAUACAAUUCCAUCGAUCU
This 279-nucleotide unclassified non-coding RNA is filed under the name plant metagenome. RNAcentral's name for it is "partial contains small subunit ribosomal RNA, internal transcribed spacer 1, and 5.8S ribosomal RNA". The record is from RNAcentral.